GAUGAACGCUGGCGGCGUGCCUAAUACAUGCAAGUCGAGCGAACAGAUAAGGAGCUUGCUCCUUUGACGUUAGCGGCGGACGGGUGAGUAACACGUGGGUAACCUACCUAUAAGACUGGAAUAACUCCGGGAAACCGGGGCUAAUGCCGGAUAACAUUUAGAGCCGCAUGGUUCUAAAGUGAAAGAUGGUUUUGCUAUCACUUAUAGAUGGACCCGUGCCGUAUUAGCUAGUUGGUAAGGUAACGGCUUACCAAGGCAACGAUACGUAGCCGACCUGAGAGGGUGAUCGGCCACACUGGAACUGAGACACGGUCCAGACUCCUACGGGAGGCAGCAGUAGGGAAUCUUCCGCAAUGGGCGAAAGCCUGACGGAGCAACGCCGCGUGAGUGAUGAAGGUCUUCGGAUCGUAAAACUCUGUUAUUAGGGAAGAACAAAUGUGUAAGUAACUGUGCACGUCUUGACGGUACCUAAUCAGAAAGCCACGGCUAACUACGUG
This 497-nucleotide ribosomal RNA is filed under the name uncultured bacterium. Its description in RNAcentral is "partial 16S ribosomal RNA". It matches the Rfam family "Bacterial small subunit ribosomal RNA", at positions 28 to 507 of the family's 1533-position model. The record is from RNAcentral.